Molecule: long non-coding RNA, 202 nt
Filed under: Dasypus novemcinctus (nine-banded armadillo)
Lineage: Eukaryota; Metazoa; Chordata; Mammalia; Cingulata; Dasypodidae
Description: lncRNA (ENSDNOG00000050289.1)
Source: RNAcentral
AAGCCCAGGCCUCUGGACUAUGGAGCCGUUGCAGGAAGGAGGCAGGAAGGCUGCACCUGGGGCUCGCACGUCCUGGCGGGAUGGAGAUGGAGGAUGUUGGUGGCAAUUGCGAUUCAUUCCUUGGAGGGAAAAGAUGAUGAAGUGGUCUGGGGCUCACUCCAUGAAGGAAGAUGACAGCCUGGGAGACGAGCCACCUCUGUGA